UACGUAGGGUGCAAGCGUUAAUCGGAAUUACUGGGCGUAAAGCGUGCGCAGGCGGUUUUGCAAGACCGAUGUGAAAUCCCCGGGCUUAACCUGGGAAUGGCAUUGGUGACUGCACGGCUAGAGUGUGUCAGAGGGGGGUAGAAUUCCACGUGUAGCAGUGAAAUGCGUAGAGAUGUGGAGGAAUACCGAUGGCGAAGGCAGCCCCCUGGGAUAUCACUGACGCUCAUGCACGAAAGCGUGGGGAGCAAACAGG
This 253-nucleotide ribosomal RNA is filed under the name uncultured bacterium. Its description in RNAcentral is "partial 16S ribosomal RNA". It matches the Rfam family "Bacterial small subunit ribosomal RNA", at positions 524 to 776 of the family's 1533-position model. The record is from RNAcentral.